This 475-nucleotide ribosomal RNA is filed under the name Cryptosporidium canis. RNAcentral describes it as "SSU rRNA". It matches the Rfam family "Eukaryotic small subunit ribosomal RNA", at positions 564 to 1071 of the family's 1831-position model. Lineage: Eukaryota; Apicomplexa; Conoidasida; Eucoccidiorida; Cryptosporidiidae. The record is from RNAcentral.
GUGCCAGCAGCCGCGGUAAUUCCAGCUCCAAUAGCGUAUAUUAAAGUUGUUGCAGUUAAAAAGCUCGUAGUUGGAUUUCUGUUAAUAAUUUAUAUAUAAUAUUUAACAUAUUUAUAUAAUAUUAACAUAAUUCAUAUUACUAUUUAUAGUAUAUGAAACUUUACUUUGAGAAAAUUAGAGUGCUUAAAGCAGGCUUUUGCCUUGAAUACUAGAGCAUGGAAUAAUAUUAAAGAUUUUUAUCUUUCUUAUUGGUUCUAAGAUAGAAAUAAUGAUUAAUAGGGACAGUUGGGGGCAUUUGUAUUUAACAGUUAGAGGUGAAAUUCUUAGAUUUGUUAAAGACAAACUAAUGCGAAAGCAUUUGCCAAGGAUGUUUUCAUUAAUCAAGAACGAAAGUUAGGGGAUCGAAGACGAUCAGAUACCGUCGUAGUCUUAACCAUAAACUAUGCCAACUAGAGAUUGGAGGUUGUUCCUUACU